RNAcentral lists this ribosomal RNA (660 nucleotides) under Leeuwenhoekiella palythoae. RNAcentral describes it as "bacterial SSU rRNA". It matches the Rfam family "Bacterial small subunit ribosomal RNA", at positions 84 to 744 of the family's 1533-position model. Lineage: Bacteria; Pseudomonadati; Bacteroidota; Flavobacteriia; Flavobacteriales; Flavobacteriaceae. The record is from RNAcentral.
UUUGCUGACGAGUGGCGCACGGGUGCGUAACGCGUAUGCAAUCUACCUUGUACUGGAGUAUAGCCCAGGGAAACUUGGAUUAAUCCUCCAUAGUCUAUUGAUAUGGCAUCGUAUUAAUAGUAAAGGUUACGGUACAAGAUGAGCAUGCGUCCUAUUAGCUAGUAGGUGUGGUAACGGCACACCUAGGCAACGAUAGGUAGGGGUCCUGAGAGGGAGAUCCCCCACACUGGUACUGAGACACGGACCAGACUCCUACGGGAGGCAGCAGUGAGGAAUAUUGGACAAUGGGCGGGAGCCUGAUCCAGCCAUGCCGCGUGCAGGAAGACUGCCCUAUGGGUUGUAAACUGCUUUUAUACGGGAAGAAUAAGUGUUACGUGUAGCACGAUGACGGUACCGUAAGAAUAAGCACCGGCUAACUCCGUGCCAGCAGCCGCGGUAAUACGGAGGGUGCAAGCGUUAUCCGGAAUCAUUGGGUUUAAAGGGUCCGUAGGUGGACUAAUAAGUCAGUGGUGAAAGUCUGCAGCUUAACUGUAGAAUUGCCAUUGAUACUGUUGGUCUUGAAUUGUUGUGAAGUAACUAGAAUAUGUAGUGUAGCGGUGAAAUGCAUAGAUAUUACAUAGAAUACCGAUUGCGAAGGCAGGUUACUAACAAUAUAUUGAC